GACGAACGCUGGCGGCGUGCUUAGCGCAUGCAAGUCGAACGGAAAGGCCCUGCUUUUGUGGGGUGCUCGAGUGGCGAACGGGUGAGUAACACGUGAGUAACCUGCCCUUGACUUUGGGAUAACUUCAGGAAACUGGGGCUAAUACCGGAUAGGAGCUCCUGCUGCAUGGUGGGGGUUGGAAAGUUUCGGCGGUUGGGGAUGGACUCGCGGCUUAUCAGCUUGUUGGUGGGGUAGUGGCUUACCAAGGCUUUGACGGGUAGCCGGCCUGAGAGGGUGACCGGCCACAUUGGGACUGAGAUACGGCCCAGACUCCUACGGGAGGCAGCAGUGGGGAAUAUUGCACAAUGGGCGGAAGCCUGAUGCAGCAACGCCGCGUGCGGGAUGACGGCCUUCGGGUUGUAAACCGCUUUCGCCUGUGACGAAGCGUGAGUGACGGUAAUGGGUAAAGAAGCACCGGCUAACUACGUG
This 468-nucleotide ribosomal RNA is filed under the name uncultured bacterium. RNAcentral's name for it is "partial 16S ribosomal RNA". It matches the Rfam family "Bacterial small subunit ribosomal RNA", at positions 28 to 507 of the family's 1533-position model. The record is from RNAcentral.